Molecule: ribosomal RNA, 2821 nt
Filed under: human gut metagenome
Also listed under: 1 other name
Description: bacterial LSU rRNA
Rfam family: Bacterial large subunit ribosomal RNA
Source: RNAcentral
AGGGCGUACGGUGAAUGCCUUGGUGCCAACAGGCGAAGAAGGACGCGGCAAGCUGCGAAAAACCUCGGGAAGCUGCAAGCAAGCGAUGAUCCGGGGGUGUCCGAAUGGGGUAACCUGACUGGGGUAAUACCUGGUCGUUCAUACCUGAAUACAUAGGGUAUGAAACGCAAUACCCGCUGAAGUGAAACAUCUCAGUAAGCGGAGGAAAAGAAAGAGAAAUCGAUUCCGUAAGUAGUGGCGAGCGAAAGCGGAUGGAGCCCAAACCGAAGGUACUCCUUCGGGGUUGUAGGACCACGACAUAUUCGACCAUAGUGGAUAGUAGAACAGUCUGGAAAGGCUGGCCAUAGAAGGUGAAAGCCCUGUAGACGAAAUCCAGAGUGGGAAUUAGUGGUAUCCUGAGUAAUACAUCACACGUGGAACGAUGUAUGAAUCAGCGCGGACCACCGCGCAAGGCUAAAUACUAGUUGGCGACCGAUAGUGAACAAGUACCGCGAGGGAAAGGUGAAAAGAACCGCUGUGAGCGGAGUGAAAUAGAACCUGAAACCGUAUGUCUACAAAGUGUCAGAGCAGAGCAAUCUGCGAUGGCGUGCCUUUUGUUUAAUGAGUCUGCGAGUCAGUGUUUGUGGCAAGACUAAGGGCUUCCGGCCCGGAGUCGCAGCGAAAGCAAGUCCGAAUAGGGCGCAUUAAGUCGCAGGUACUGGACCCGAAGCGGAGGUGACCUACCCUUGGCCAGGUUGAAGCAUGGGUAAAACCAUGUGGAGGACCGAACAGGUGAACGUUGAAAAGUUCUCUGAUGAGCUGAGGGUAGGAGUGAAAGGCUAAUCAAACCCCGUGAUAGCUGGUUCUCUUCGAAAUGCAUUUAGGUGCAGCGUCACGUGCUGAUGCGCGGGGGUAGAGCACUGACAAGGCUAGGGGGCACACCCGCUUACCAAACCUUAUCAAACUCCGAAUACCGUGCAAUGGAACGUGGCAGUGAGACAGUGGGGGAUAAGCUUCAUUGUCGAGAGGGAAACAACCCAGACCAGCAGCUAAGGUGCCUAAAUAACGCUGAGUGGAAAGGAUGUGGGAUUACACAGACAGUGAGGAUGUUGGCUUAGAAGCAGCCACCAUUUAAAAAAUGCGUAAUAGCUUACUCAUCGAGUGAUCCUGCGCCGAAAAUGAUUGGCGAUCAAGCGUUAUACCGAAGCUCUGGACUUUGCCGCAAGGCAGAGUGGUAGAAGAGCGUUGCAUGCGCAUUGAAGGGUGAUGGCGACUGACCCUGGAGCGCAUGCAAGUGAGUAUGCAGACAUGAGUAACGUAAAGCCGGGUGAAAUCCCCGGCCGCCGUAAACCCGAGGUUUCCAGGGCAACGUGUUUCGUCCCUGGGUUAGCCGGGACCUAAGCCGAGGCCGAGAGGCGUAGGCGAUGGAUAUCAGGUUAAUAAUCCUGAGCUCGCGACCCUUAAACUGGGGGGACGCAUGAGAAGAGAUGACCAGGUUAUUGAAUUCCGAGCUGGGUCCACGGACCCAGCGCAUCAUCAAAUCGAGUGCCAAGAAAAGCCCCAGCGUAUGCUAAGCGACCCGUACCGCAAACCGACACAGGUGGGUGGGUAGAAUAUACCAAGGCGUAAGAGUGAAACCUGGUUAAGGAACUCGGCAAAUUAGCCCCGUAACUUCGGAAGAAGGGGUGCCUGCAGCGAUGCAGGCCGCAGAGAAAUGGCCCAACCGACUGUUUAUCAAAAACACAGCACUCUGCAAAGACGCAAGUCGAAGUAUAGGGUGUGACACGUGACCAAUGCCGAAAGAUUAAGGCAAGGGGUUAGCCGCAAGGCGAAGCUCUGAACCCAAGUCCCGGUGAAUGUCGGCCGUAACUAUAACGGUCCUAAGGUAGCGAAAUUCCUUGUCGGGUAAGUUCCGACCUGCACGAAUCGUGAAACGAGUUGGGCACUGUCUCAACCAGGCGCUCAGUGAAAUUGUAGUGGCGGUGAAGAUGCCGCCUACCCGCAGAAGGACGGAGAGACCCUAUAGACCUUAACUGUAAGCUGUCAUUGUUUCUUCGGUUUUAAUGCUCAGAGUAAGUGGGAGACGCUGAAGAUGCCCUUUAGGGGGCAUCCGAGUCAUCAAUGAGACACCACCCUUUGAAACUGGAGGAUCUAACCCUGAGCCGUGAAUCCGGCCAGAGGACCGUGUCAGCCGGUCAGUUUUACUGGGGCGGUAUCCUCCCAAAGAGUAACGGAGGAGCGCGAAGGUGGGCUCAGCCCGGUUGGCAACCGGGUGUCGAGUGCAUGGGCAUAAGCCCGCCUAACUGUGAGACCAACAAGUCGAGCAGAUGCGAAAGCAGGCCCAAGUGAUCCGGCGGUAGAAAGUGGAAUUGCCGUCGCUCAACGGAUAAAAGGUACCUUAGGGAUAACAGGCUGAUCACGCCCAAGAGUUCAUAUCGACGGCGUGGUUUGGCACCUCGAUGUCGGCUCGUCGCAUCCUGGGGCUGGAGAAGGUCCCAAGGGUCCGGCUGUUCGCCGGUUAAAGCGGCACGCGAGCUGGGUUCAGAACGUCGCGAGACAGUUCGGUCCUCUAUCCUCUGUGGGCGUUGGAAAAUUGAGGGGUUCAGACCUUAGUACGAGAGGACCGGGUCUGACGCACCACUGGUGCAUCGGUUGUACUGUCAAGUGCAUGGCCGAGUAGCUAAGUGCGGAAGGGAUAAGCGCUGAAAGCAUCUAAGCGCCAAGCCCAUCCCAAGAUGAGUUUUCCCUAUAGGUUCGUGGAAGACCACCACGUCGAUAGGUCGCAGGUGUAAGUGCAGCAAUGUAUUGAGCCAAGCGAUACUAAUCACCGAUAGACUUCAUC